Molecule: non-coding RNA, 620 nt
Organism: Coturnix japonica (Japanese quail)
Lineage: Eukaryota; Metazoa; Chordata; Aves; Galliformes; Phasianidae
Source: RefSeq, a predicted model, not a curated record
CUCGUAACUCUCACCUUCAGUGAAGCACUCCUCCGGCUCAUUGCUCUCUUCAGCCUCUUCAGCCACCUCCUCUUCCUCGGGCUGAGAAGGAGAAGCAAAUCUCCAGACCUGCCCAUCCCAAAUGGGAGCAACCAGAUCUUGGAUGGGGUUCUCAUGGGGAAGAAUGAGUGCAGGAUGGUGUUGGCUUGCAUGGAAGGAAAUCGCCCUGCCCUGAGAUCACUGUCCCACGAGCCCUGACCUGAUGCAGUUGAUAUCAGUUGUCUCAUUUGCUUUGGAUCCAAGAUGCAUUGCUUCAUGUUCGCUCGUGCUAAGCCCCUCCAUCUGGUUCCGUGCCCUCCCUCCCCCACACUGCUUUUGGAGGCAUUAGCAGUAGAUCCAAUGUUAGUGCCAUCAGCAGAUUUCCUGGCAUCAAGUUGCUCUGGGACAUCUUUAACCCCAAAAGGAGUGCACUGACCCUGCAUUGCAGGCGUUGGCAAAAACCUCCACUUAGACCCCAAUCUCAUGCUAGGAAACAGAGAGCCAUUUCUUGCUGAAACACCCCAAGUUUGGUCCAUGGAGAAGCUAAAAGUCACCCCAGAUGGUGUCGUUCAGAGGCUGAAGCCCUGCAACCCACCUUGGCA